GAUGAACGCUGGCGGCGUGCCUAAUACAUGCAAGUAGAACGCUGAAGGAAGGAGCUUGCUCUUUCCGGAUGAGUUGCGAACGGGUGAGUAACGCGUAGGUAACCUGCCUGGUAGCGGGGGAUAACUAUUGGAAACGAUAGCUAAUACCGCAUAACAGUAGAUGUUGCAUGAUAUCUACUUAAAAGGUGCAAUUGCACCACUACCAGAUGGACCUGCGUUGUAUUAGCUAGUUGGUGAGGUAACGGCUCACCAAGGCGACGAUACAUAGCCGACCUGAGAGGGUGAUCGGCCACACUGGGACUGAGACACGGCCCAGACUCCUACGGGAGGCAGCAGUAGGGAAGCUUCGGCAAUGGACGGAAGUCUGACCGAGCAACGCCGCGUGAGUGAAGAAGGGUUUCGGAUCGUAAAGCUCGGUUGUAAGAGAAGAACGAGUGUGAGAGUGGAAAGUUCACACUGUGACGGUAUCUUACCAGAAAGGGACGGCUAACUACGUG
This 497-nucleotide ribosomal RNA is filed under the name uncultured bacterium. RNAcentral describes it as "partial 16S ribosomal RNA". It matches the Rfam family "Bacterial small subunit ribosomal RNA", at positions 28 to 507 of the family's 1533-position model. The record is from RNAcentral.